This 614-nucleotide ribosomal RNA is filed under the name uncultured bacterium. Its description in RNAcentral is "bacterial SSU rRNA". The stretch from base 1 to 521 matches the Rfam family "Bacterial small subunit ribosomal RNA", at positions 338 to 873 of the family's 1533-position model. The record is from RNAcentral.
CCUACGGGAGGCAGCAGUGGGGAAUAUUGGGCAAUGGAGGAAACUCUGACCCAGCGACGCCGCGUGCGGGAUGAAGGCCUUCGGGUUGUAAACCGCUUUCAGUAGGGAAGAAGCGAAAGUGACGGUACCUACAAAAGAAGCACCGGCUAACUAUGUGCCAGCAGCCGCGGUAAUACAUAGGGUGCAAGCGUUGUCCGGAAUUAUUGGGCGUAAAGAGCUCGUAGGUCGUUUGUUACGUCGGAUGUGAAAACCUGAGGCUCAACCUCAGGCCUGCAUUCGAUACGGGCAAACUAGAGUUUGGUAGGGGAGACUGGAAUUCCUGGUGUAGCGGUGGAAUGCGCAGAUAUCAGGAGGAACACCAAUGGCGAAGGCAGGUCUCUGGGCCAAUACUGACACUGAGGAGCGAAAGUCUGGGGAGCGAACAGGAUUAGAUACCCUGGUAGUCCAGACCGUAAACGGUGGGCACUAGUUGUGGGAACCUUCCACGGUUUCUGCGACGCAGCUACGCAUAAGUGCCCGCCGUCGGGAGGUACGAGCGCGAGAAGUUAAACUACAAAUAGAAGUUAAGUACGGCGUUGAGACGUUGCCGAACGGCGACGACGAGGGAGGUUAGG